RNAcentral lists this ribosomal RNA (250 nucleotides) under uncultured bacterium. RNAcentral's name for it is "partial 16S ribosomal RNA". It matches the Rfam family "Bacterial small subunit ribosomal RNA", at positions 524 to 773 of the family's 1533-position model. The record is from RNAcentral.
UACAGAGGGUGCGAGCGUUGUCCGGAAUCACUGGGCGUAAAGGGCGCGCAGGCGGCUUUUCAAGCGUGCGGUGAAAGCUCGGGGCUUAACUCCGAGUCUGCCGUGCGAACUGGGAGGCUUGAGUCUGGUAGAGGUCGAUGGAAUUCCGGGUGUAGCGGUGGAAUGCGUAGAGAUCCGGAAGAACACCGGUGGCGAAGGCGGUCGACUGGGCCAGAACUGACGCUGAGGCGCGACAGCGUGGGGAGCAAAC